CCUACGGGAGGCAGCAGUGAGGAAUAUUGGUCAAUGGACGAGAGUCUGAACCAGCCAAGUAGCGUGAAGGAUGACUGCCCUAUGGGUUGUAAACUUCUUUUAUAUGGGAAUAAAAUGUUCCACGUGUGGGAUUUUGUAUGUACCAUAUGAAUAAGGAUCGGCUAACUCCGUGCCAGCAGCCGCGGUAAUACGGAGGAUCCGAGCGUUAUCCGGAUUUAUUGGGUUUAAAGGGAGCGUAGGUGGAUUGUUAAGUCAGUUGUGAAAGUUUGCGGCUCAACCGUAAAAUUGCAGUUGAAACUGGCAGUCUUGAGUACAGUAGAGGUGGGUGGAAUUUGUGGUGUAGCGGUGAAAUGCUUAGAUAUCACGAAGAACUCCGAUUGCGAAGGCAGUUCACUGGACUGCAACUGACACUGAGGCUCGAAAGUGUGGGUAUCAAACAGGAUUAGAUACCCUUGUAGUC
RNAcentral lists this ribosomal RNA (460 nucleotides) under uncultured bacterium. Its description in RNAcentral is "partial 16S ribosomal RNA". It matches the Rfam family "Bacterial small subunit ribosomal RNA", at positions 338 to 795 of the family's 1533-position model. The record is from RNAcentral.